Long non-coding RNA from Tupaia belangeri chinensis (Chinese tree shrew), 325 nucleotides. RefSeq lists it as uncharacterized. Lineage: Eukaryota; Metazoa; Chordata; Mammalia; Scandentia; Tupaiidae. The transcript is spliced from 3 exons. The record is from RefSeq and is a predicted model, not a curated record.
CAGUGGGAUCCUCCGCCGCAGUCGAACUAGGCGUCCUGGGUGGGUGUCCCUGUUUCCAGGCCACUGAACUCGGCUAUACCUGGUAGCCUGCUGGCAGCGAAGCCCGCAGUUAAGCACAGGCGCCCCCUCCACCUGGAAAGGACAGGCCAGGAGUCCAAGGAGUCGGUUACUUCCUUGCUAAGGACAGCAGGUGCGCCCAGGAAGUAAGACCUACCGCACAGGUACAGGAACCGACCGGUAGUGGAUACCUCCCAGCUGAAUCGAAGCAAGUCGUAUUUCUCAGCCUCAUCUCACCCUUCUUUAACAAAACAAAAAUAAAAACAAA